AAAUAAGAAGCAUAAAAUGUAUUUAAUUUCGACUUAAAAGACGGUAAUAAUUUUACCCUUAUUUA
Molecule: transfer RNA, 65 nt
Filed under: Neohirasea stephanus
Lineage: Eukaryota; Metazoa; Arthropoda; Insecta; Phasmatodea; Lonchodidae
Description: tRNA-Arg
Source: RNAcentral